RNAcentral lists this ribosomal RNA (121 nucleotides) under Sphenodon punctatus (tuatara). Lineage: Eukaryota; Metazoa; Chordata; Lepidosauria; Sphenodontia; Sphenodontidae. The record is from RNAcentral.
CCCGGUGCCUAUGUCCACUGAACGCGCCCGAUCCCGUCCGAUUUUGGAAGCUAAGCGGUCCCGGGCCCGGCUAGUACCUGGAUGGGAGACCGCCUGAGANGGAAGCUAAGCGGUCCCGGGC